UCUGCCAGACUACAAACCACACA
Molecule: microRNA, 23 nt
Filed under: Caenorhabditis elegans
Lineage: Eukaryota; Metazoa; Nematoda; Chromadorea; Rhabditida; Rhabditidae
Description: cel-miR-5552-3p
Source: miRBase by way of RNAcentral